Lepus europaeus (European hare) is the source of this 3799-nucleotide long non-coding RNA. RefSeq lists it as uncharacterized. Lineage: Eukaryota; Metazoa; Chordata; Mammalia; Lagomorpha; Leporidae. The transcript is spliced from 3 exons. The record is from RefSeq and is a predicted model, not a curated record.
AAUGGCCUUCAGGGAAGGCGUCCGCCUGGACGGGUUGGCGGCUGCUGAGCGCCUCGAGCCGCUGUGACUCGCCUUCCCUCAGCCGGAAAGCGUCCGCCUGCGCCCGCGCGGGAGGAGCGGGUCCUCUGAGGGCAGCGGCGACCCCGCCGGCCCGGUCUCUUUCCCUGGCAGCGGCGGCCUCUUCCGUGGGACAAUAUGUUCAAGAGAAUGGCCGAAUUUGGGCCUGACUCCGGGGGGAGAGUGAAGGGAUGUGUUUGACCAAAUGGGAGAGCAGUUAUAACACACAAACUACCUGGAGACCAAAGCACCGAUUAUGGAAUAUUUCAGAUCAAUAGCCGCUACUGGUGUGAUGACGGCAAAACCCCAGGAGCAGUUAACUCCUGCCGUAUACCCUGCAGUGGCAGAGUGGACAGUGAGAGAGAGAGAGAGACAGAGAGAAAGGUCUUCCUUUACUGUUGAUUCACUCUCCAAUGGCCACUGCGGCCGGCGCUCCGCGCUCAUCCGAAACCAGGAGCCAGGUGCUUCUCCUGGUCUCCAUAUGGGUACAGGGCCCAAGGACUUUGGCCAUCCUCCUCUGCACUCCUGGGCCACAGCAGAAAGUUGGUCUGGAAGAGGGGCAACUGGGACAGAACCUGGCGCCCCUACCGGGACUAGAACCCAGUGUGUCGGCGCCACAAGGCGGAGGAUUAGCCUAUUGAACCGCGGUGCCGGCCUCGUGUUCAUCUUAAAGACAGAAUUCUACUCCUAUCCAGUCUCUUUCCAUGUUCUGCAAAGGUGGGGGUCUUCUCCACAUACUUCCAGGAUUUGGAACGCAAACGGACACUCUGCUUUUGCCCUUGGGAUGCAGCUAUCCUGCCUACUUCUUCAGGAAGAAAGAAACAGCUGAAGCGGGCCUUCUCCUCAAGUUUGCUUCACUAUGAAGAAAUGACUUUGCAAACUGAAGACCUGUUAAUUUGAGACAGGUGUUUGUGAAUUUCUUUGCUGCUUGUUCCAAACAAGAAGGCAACAUAAAUAGCAAGGAUGGAUGACCGAAGGGCUUUCAAAAAAUGUCUUCCAGUUUCAGCCACUAUCAACAGCACAGCUGAGACCAUGGCACUACAUUUCAAAUACAUGUUCUAAUUUGAAAUAAGGAGAGAUGCUAAAAAGUGACACAUAGUGAUGUCUUCAAUCUUGACUCCUCCUGAGACACAGAAUUACUGAAUAAGAACUGAGGUCCAAUGUUGCAAUUAAAUCUUUGAUGUGACAAAAAAGCAUAAAGACGAGAAAUCACGGUUAAUUUUGUAUGUGAAUAAUGUUCAGUUUCUUGUCAAGUGUGCAUAUUUACCUGGGUCUACCCACAUUUUUGGUUGAAAAGAGGAAUUUUUCUUCAAGCUGUUGCUGACUUCUUUUUCAGAAGUCAUUGGAUGGCUGGUAAUUUGUGUUUUUCAUUUCUCUAAGAAGGGACCAGUUUGUGCCACAGCUAGCCCAAUGAACGCAUGCUUCAGUCUAGUCAAAAGGAAAUGGAGGGGCCGGCGCCAUGGCUCACUUGGUCAAUCCUACCCUGUGGUGCCGGCAUCCCAAAAUGGGCACUGGGUUCUGGUCACAGUUGCUACUCUUCCAGUCCAGCUCUCUGCUGUGGCCCAGGAAGGCCGUGGAGGAUGGCCCAAGUGUUUGGGCGCCUGCACCCGUGUCGGAGGCCAGGAAGAAGUACCUGGCUCCUGGCUUCAGAUUGGUGUAGCUCCAGCCAUGGCAGCCAUUUGUAGGGUGAACCAACAGAAGGAAGACCUUUCUCCUCUCUGUCUCUCUCCCUCACUGUCUCACUCUGUCAAAUAAAUAAUUAAAAAAAAAAAAAAACCACAAAAAAAAGGACAUGGAAAGAAAACAAGAGAGUUCUUUGUCCAGGGUAGAGGGCUAUUCACCUCCCUAGGAUGGGAGGCUCUAUGUUACAAGCUGCACCAUCCUUUUUGUGGCGUCUUCCCUGGCACAGCGCAAGUUUUCUAGGUUGCUGAAGAUGGGAGGAAAGUGGGGAUGGGAGGGGGGACAGGCUUCUGUGCAGCCAUGAAGAUGCUCGUUCAGAUGUCUGCAUCCACCAUGGUGCUGGUGUGAGAAUCCGGGUCUUCCCUUCUGCUGCCAGCUGCCUGCUAAUGCGCACCCUGGGAGGCAGAAGCUGAUGGCUCAAGUACUUGCAUCUCUGCCCCCCAUGUGGGAAACUAAGACUGUGUUCUGGCCUCCUGGUUUUGGCCUGGCACACCCCUGGCUAUUGUGGCCAUGUCAGACUGAAUCGGUGUAUAGAAGAUCUUUUCUGUCUCUGUCUCUUUGACCCUUAAAUAUAGUAACUCAAUAAAGGUUUGUAAAAAGUGGGAUGAGUGGUUUUACAGUUCAGAAGAUGUGAUGGAUCCGGUAAGAUAACCUGCCUUCGACUUUGGAUGUAGAAGAAUGGGCGGUUGGGUGGGGGAUGGGAAAGUUUCCAAAUAACACCUUCUCUGAAGAAAAGGAAGCCAAAAUGUUUUAUGCAGUUCCAUCUGACAUUAUGACAUUUUACACUAUAGAGUUCCACUUCUUAUAAAAGAAAAGUAGGCAAAUAAAUAAAUAAAAUGAAGACCACAGACAGACUGAGGCAUUGCUACUUGCUAAAAGGAAAUACACACACAAAGCACUUCAGCCUCCCUUCUGCCCUCAGGAAAGCACAGGAUGCGAAGUGCAAACACUGAGUGAGAUGCUCUGUGCAACAGCAGACACAAACCAUGUUCCAUAUUUGCUUAUUCUAAACCUAAUCUCAAGACACGGCAAGGAACUGGCAGAGUGUGGAUAGUUAGAAACCCUAGAAAUCCCCCAAAUGAGGAAUGAAAGAAUGAGAUUCUGAGUCCAUUAAAAUACAUUGUAUCUUCAAGGAUUUAGGCAAUACACUGUAGAACAGACUCAAAACGACCAUAUUCAGUUCUCAACAGCAUAUUUUGGGCUUAGAAAGUCAUCUCUCAUGUACAAUUUGGGACAUGCUCAAUUGGACUUGCCCCAAAUGGUGGAGUUAGAAACGUGCCAGGGGAUUGCAUUACAAUCCCAUCAAGGUGGCAUGUACUAAUGCCAUUUUACUAGUCCAAGUGAUCAAUUUCAGUUCAAAAUUGAUCACAUUGAUAGGUCUAAGAGUCAAAGGGAUCACAAAACAAGACUAGUAUCUGCUAAUACUAACUGAUAGAAUCAAAAAGGAGAGAACGAUCCAACAUGGGAAGCGGGAUACACAGCAGACUCAUAGAAUGGCAGCUGUCCUGAAUAGCACUCUGGCCUUAGAAUCAGCCCUUAAGGCAUUCGGAUCUGGCUGAAGAGCCCAUGAGAGUAUUGUAGGCAUAGAAAGCCAAGACACCUUGGGAAAAAAAAAAAAAGACCUAAAUGAAAGAUCUCUGUGAGUGAGAUCCCAGUGGAAAGAACGGGGCCACCAAAGAAGGAGGUACCUUUCUCCGAAGGGAGAAGAGAACUUCCACUUUGACUAUGAGCCUGUCGGAAUAAGAUCAAAGUCAGUGAACUCAAAAGGCUUCCAUAGCUUCGGCAACUCAUGACUAGAGCCUAGGGAGAUUACGGACGCCAUAAAGAAUAGUGUCAAAUUGUUAAGUCAGCAACAGGAGUCACUGUGUACUUACAUCUCAUGUGGGAUCUAUCCUUAAAGUGUUGUCCAAUGUGAAGUAAUGCUAUAACCAGUACUGAAACAGUAUUUUACACUUUGUGUUUCUGUGUGGGUGCAAACUGAUGCAAUCUUUAAUUAAUAUAUACUAAAUCGAUCAUCUGUAUAUAAAGAUAAUUGAAAAUGAAUCUUGAUGUGAAUGGAAUG